Molecule: long non-coding RNA, 647 nt
Organism: Vespa mandarinia (Asian giant hornet)
Lineage: Eukaryota; Metazoa; Arthropoda; Insecta; Hymenoptera; Vespidae
Source: RefSeq, a predicted model, not a curated record
AAAGGAAAAAAAAGGAAUUGUAGUAGGGUAUAGGAUACCUCUUACCUUUUUUCGUAUUUACGAUGCGUUCGCAAAAAAAAAAAAUAAAAACCCCCGGAAAUUCGUAAUCGUGGAUAUUCACGGAACGUGCAAAGGGGAUCGUCUUCAAAGGGAGAAAAGUUUCAAUUGCCCAACGACGAUUGGACGAGCGCAAAGAAAUUAAAUAAGCGCGCGCAAACACAGGACGUAGGAAAGUUCGUUAAAUGGAAACCGUCUGCGUCUAAAAGAGACGGACAAAGAAAAGAAAAGAAAAGAGAGAGAGAGAGAGAAUGAGAAGGACCUAGACCAAACAAGAACAGAUUUUUUAUCUCUCUUCCACGAUACAAUCGAAUCUCCUGCCUUCUCGCUACUUCGUCCAUUCUUUGAGAAGAGGAACGGAUGUAUUUACGUCUUCUAACGAUCGUUGCUGAACGAAUCAUCAACUGCGUCCCGUAAACCCGAGAAAAUACCUACGGAACAUUUUCAAAGUGAACCACCAAUUUUCGAAGCAUCUCGACUUCAUCGUCAGCGACAGUUUCGUAAUUUCGACAUGGUCCUUUUUACUGCCUUUGCCGGUGCUCGUCGGCUAGGAUAACGUUCACGGAAAAGCAAGAACGACGAUGGGAAGG